Molecule: long non-coding RNA, 1426 nt
Filed under: Mus spretus (western wild mouse)
Lineage: Eukaryota; Metazoa; Chordata; Mammalia; Rodentia; Muridae
Description: lncRNA (ENSMSPG00010047432.1)
Source: RNAcentral
AGGAUUCUACCAGGCUUUCAAAGAACACACAGCAGCGUUCCUCAAACUGUAAUGUAAAAUAUGAAAGAGGGAGCAUUUCCAGACUCUUCAGCCAGGGUGCCCUGCAAAGCCGCCCUUGUGUCCUCUCCCAGCAUCUUUGACUCAAGUUCCUCGAGACAGGCUGUUGUCUGACAGAGUCUGUCUAGGACCCAGGAGAGCCACCACAGCCAAGAGAAGACAGAGUUGGAACUUACUGCAACACUCACCUCCAGAGAACCCCGCUGGCUGCAGAAACUCUCAGUCUAGUUCUACAGGGCUGAACAUGGUAAUCCCAGGGACAGCCACCGCUGAUGGGCUUCACACUCAAAAGACCAGGCAAGAAGCCACAUUUGUGACUGAUGACAUCCAGUGAACCAGAAGGGCAGGGGAAUUAUACAGAACCCUGUGGCUGUAUCCCAGGACAGGGUGUGUAAUGGCUAUUCCUGGUUGUCAACUUGACUAUAUCUGGAAUGGACUUCAAUCCAGAAUUGGAAGACACACCUGUGAACCAGAUCUUGAGGCUGGAAGAUACAAGUGUCUGACCUGGAUCUUGGCAUGGAGAUCUUGAGGCAUAGUGGCCAUGAAAAGCUUAGGCCCAGGCAAGGUGGUACAUGCUUUAAUCCCAGGAGACUGUGGCAAGGAGGUCUCUGAGUUCAAGAUCAACCUGGGACAAAGCAAAUCCCAGAUCCAGGCAUUGUCAUGGUAUAUACCUUUAAUCUGGGCCACACUUUCUGCUGGAGGCCUAAACAAGGACAUUGGAAGAAGGAAGAUUCGCUCUUCUUCCCCUGCUUGCACUUACUAGCAGCACAUCUGAUGGAAUCUACUGCAACAGAAGACCAGCUGAAACACCCAGCCUCGUGGAACUGAGCAACUACUAGAUUCUUGGACUUCCCAUUCACAGCUGACCAUUGUUAGAUUAGUCGGAAUGCAGACUGUAAGUCAUCACAAUAAAUUCCGUCAAUAUAGAGAGACAUUCCAUAAAUUCUGUGACUCUGGACAACCUUGACUAAUACAAGGUAGACGGCUGGAACUCACACAGAAUUUUCUUGUGCUUAAAGCAACCCACAGGCAGCCAGCAGGUGGUCAGCCUUCAGCCUUUGUAUUAAGACCCACCUCCUCACCCACUGUUGCCAGAUGAAUUGAACAACAGGGAAGAUAAUUCCAAUCACAAACCAAUCUGAGUUAUGUUUGAUGUGUUUUCCAUCCGAUAUCUGAGAGAUACUUAAACUAAUGUUUUUAUAUGUGAAAUUCAAAUUUGCCUGGGAUUAGAGUUGGGGUUCAUGUUAGCCAUGUAACAGGGCCUCAGAUCUUAGCCCAACCAACUCACGAUGGAAAUACCAUUCAGGCCAUAAAACUCGGAUGACAGGCAGAGUUUUAUGCCAAAACGAAAACAAAGACCUAAUCCAUC